RNAcentral lists this ribosomal RNA (703 nucleotides) under uncultured bacterium. RNAcentral describes it as "bacterial SSU rRNA". It matches the Rfam family "Bacterial small subunit ribosomal RNA", at positions 92 to 781 of the family's 1533-position model. The record is from RNAcentral.
CGAGUGGCGAACUGGGGAGCUCACGUGGGUAACCUGCCCUUGAAGUAGGGGAUAACACUUGGAAACAGGUGCUAAUACCGUAUAACAACCAAAACCACCUGGUUUUGGUUUAAAAGAUGGCCUCGGCUAUCACUUUAGGAUGGACCCGCGGCGUAUUAGCUUGUUGGUAAGGUAACGGCCUACCAAGGCAAUGAUACGUAGCCGACCUGAGAGGGUAAUCGGCCACAUUGGGACUGAGACACGGCCCAAACUCCUACGGGAGGCAGCAGUAGGGAAUCUUCCACAAUGGACGAAAGUCUGAUGGAGCAACGCCGCGUGAGUGAAGAAGGCUUUCGGGUCGUAAAACUCUGUUGUUGGAGAAGAAUGGUCGGCAGAGUAACUGUUGUCGGCGUGACGGUAUCCAACCAGAAAGCCACGGCUAACUACGUGCCAGCAGCCGCGGUAAUACGUAGGUGGCAAGCGUUAUCCGGAUUUAUUGGGCGUAAAGCGAGCGCAGGCGGUUUUUUAAGUCUGAUGUGAAAGCCCUCGGCUUAACCGAGGAAGCGCAUCGGAAACUGGGAAACUUGAGUGCAGAAGAGGACAGUGGAACUCCAUGUGUAGCGGUGAAAUGCGUAGAUAUAUGGAAGAACACCAGUGGCGAAGGCGGCUGUCUGGUCUGUAACUGACGCUGAGGCUCGAAAGCAUGGGUAGCGAACAGGAUUAG